Long non-coding RNA from Bos taurus (domestic cattle), 738 nucleotides. The record is from Ensembl. NCBI's taxonomy places the organism in Eukaryota, Metazoa, Chordata, Mammalia, Artiodactyla, Bovidae.
ACUGGAGUGGGUUGCUAUUUCCUACUCCAGGGGAUCUUCCCGACCAGGGGUUGAACCCGUGUCUCUUGCGUCUCCUGCACCGGCUGGCGGGUUCUUUUACCACUGUGCCACCUGGGAAGCCUCCACCUGGAGGGGCUCUUAGUUUACGUCUGAAGCAAGGUCCUGGAUCAACGCCCACUGUGUGCCACAGACAGCAGGCACGACACGGCAGGCUUCCUGCCUCAGUUUUUUGUGGCCUGCUUUGUGGGACCAGCACGAGCCUGGUCCAUCUACUGAGCAACCCGGCCCUGUCAGCUACUGCGUGGGUGGUAGGUUGAAGAGGGUUUCAGAUCCUGGCCAGCAUCACCAUCACUGCCAAGCCCACCCUCACACCCGCUAGCCGAAAAGACGUCGUCGUUUAGUUGCUAGUGUUUCUGUUCGGUUGCUCAGUGUCUGACUCUUUGCGACCUCAUGGACGACAGCACACCGGACUUCCCUGUCCUUCACCAUCUCCCAGAACUUGCUCGUGGCCAACUCUUUGCAACCCCAUGAACUGUAGCCCACCAGGCUCCUCUGUCCGUGGGAUUUCCCAGAAUGCUGGAGCAGCAUGCGUGGGGCAGACAACGGGACCCCAGCCCCAGAGGGAGCAUCCGUCCCCGCUUCACCACUGCCAGAGUCACAGGAGGGAGCUCCCAGCCAGAGAAGGCUCCUGCCCUCGAGUGAAGGUGUGGCCGAUCCUCCUGGAGUCCUCGUUAAGAG